UCACAAUGGAAGCCUAACAGAUCCCAUUGAAAUUAACAAUAUAAAAUCAUACAGUGGCCUUACUGGCUUUCUUUGUUAAUCUUCCCUUAUGACAUCACACAUGUGACAUCAUCAAGUGUAUGGAGCUAUCUGUACCAGCCACUAGUACAGUCCAGGCCUAAGCUAUCAGAGGGAGUGCACAUAAAGAGCAGGAGAUGAGGAAAAGGACAAGAUGACACAGGAGAGGUGAAUGAUGCCCGGUGAGAAGGGGAACAUGACAUAUACCCUCGUCAACUGCAAGAAAGGAACCACGAGACAGGUGACUGAUGCCCGGUGAGAAGGUGAACGUGACAUAUACCCUCAUCAGCUGCAAGAAAGGAACCACGAGACAGGUGACUGAUGCCCGGUGAGAAGGUGAACGUGACAUGUACCCUCAUCAGCUGCAAGAAAGGAACCACGAGACAGUGUAUGGAGCUAUCUGUACCAGCCACUAGUACAGUCCAGGCCUAAGCUAUCAGAGGGAGUGCACAUAAAGAGCAGGAGAUGAGGAAAAGGACAAGAUGACACAGGAGAGGUACAGAAAUCCUAAAUAUUGCUCAGAAUACAUCUAGAAUUCUAGACUUGCAAAUGAUGACUAGAUCUAAUGAAUAUAAUGUGUCAAAAUCAUAAUGUUAAUUGUAUUAAAUCUAAUUAUUUAACUAGACACUUUGCUGAUGUUCCCAAAUGACCAAGUAUAUAUUGUUUAUUCAAUUUUAUUACACAAAAAGUUGGGGUGUAAGUACUGUAUGGGUAUAUUAAGUCUAAUGGGGGGUGACAGGGAAGUAAUAUGAGUUCUCUGACCUUUAAUAUGACCUCCUGUUAUAACCUAAAAUAAGAAUUUAGGCUGAAUGUAUAUUUCACUAUUAUAAUGCUGGAUUUCAUGUAUGACUAUUAAUACUGAAUCAUAAAAAGAAAUGCAUACAUUGAAUUCUCUUUAACAGGAUUGUCCCAGAGAGCAAAUUUGGUAAAAUCAAAUGUGUGCCCCAUACAUAUAUGGAAAGGGGAACAAAUGUGCUGUUUUUAAGGAAAAUAACUUAUAUCCCUGUAGAGUUCUUCUCCCCCAUGGAUUUGAUCAAGUAGUUUCCUCUCUGAGCUCUAACCCUACUGUUGCCAGGCAACAGAGCACACACUUUCCCACAAUCCCCCUUACUUAUAAGCUCAGUGGAGACAAACUGCCAUUACCUUUAGGAGACUGCAGGUGAACUGAUCAUGUGUUACCCCCGCCAUAGUGGGUCGUAACCAAGGGCAACAGUUAUCAAAACAAUGCGGG
Hyla sarda is the source of this 1288-nucleotide long non-coding RNA. RefSeq lists it as uncharacterized. The transcript is spliced from 5 exons. Lineage: Eukaryota; Metazoa; Chordata; Amphibia; Anura; Hylidae. The record is from RefSeq and is a predicted model, not a curated record.